AUGCAAGUCGGACGGCAGCACAGAGAAGCUUGCUUCUUGGGUGGCGAGUGGCGAACGGGUGAGUAAUAUAUCGGAACGUACCGAGUAAUGGGGGAUAACUAAUCGAAAGAUUAGCUAAUACCGCAUAUUCUCUGAGGAGGAAAGCAGGGGACCUUCGGGCCUUGCGUUAUUCGAGCGGCCGAUAUCUGAUUAGCUAGUUGGUGGGGUAAGGGCCUACCAAGGCGACGAUCAGUAGCGGGUCUGAGAGGAUGAUCCGCCACACUGGGACUGAGACACGGCCCAGACUCCUACGGGAGGCAGCAGUGGGGAAUUUUGGACAAUGGGCGCAAGCCUGAUCCAGCCAUGCCGCGUGUCUGAAGAAGGCCUUCGGGUUGUAAAGGACUUUUGUCAGGGAAGAAAAGGCUGUUGCUAAUACCGACAGCUGAUGACGGUACCUGAAGAAUAAGCACCGGCUAACUACGUGCCAGCAGCCGCGGUAAUACGUAGGGUGCGAGCGUUAAUCGGAAUUACUGGGCGUAAAGCGAGCGCAGACGGUUACUUAAGCAGGAUGUGAAAUCCCCGGGCUCAACCUGGGAACUGCGUUCUGAACUGGGUGACUAGAGUGUGUCAGAGGGAGGUAGAAUUCCACGUGUAGCAGUGAAAUGCGUAGAGAUGUGGAGGAAUACCGAUGGCGAAGGCAGCCUCCUGGGAUAACACUGACGUUCAUGCUCGAAAGCGUGGGUAGCAAACAGGAUUAGAUACCCUGGUAGUCCACGCCCUAAACGAUGUCAAUUAGCUGUUGGGCAACUUGAUUGCUUAGUAGCGUAGCUAACGCGUG
This 817-nucleotide ribosomal RNA is filed under the name uncultured Neisseria sp. RNAcentral describes it as "bacterial SSU rRNA". It matches the Rfam family "Bacterial small subunit ribosomal RNA", at positions 55 to 861 of the family's 1533-position model. Lineage: Bacteria; Pseudomonadati; Pseudomonadota; Betaproteobacteria; Neisseriales; Neisseriaceae. The record is from RNAcentral.